GAUGAACGCUAGCGACAGGCCUAACACAUGCAAGUCGAGGGGCAGCACGGGAGUAGCAAUACAACUGGUGGCGACCGGCGCACGGGUGAGUAACACGUAUGCAACCUACCUGUAAGAGGGGAAUAACCCGGAGAAAUUCGGACUAACACCGCAUAAUACCUCGAAGCUGCAUGGCUUUGAGGUUAAAUAUUUAUAGCUUACAGAUGGGCAUGCGUAACAUUAGAUAGUUGGUGAGGUAACGGCUCACCAAGUCAACGAUGUUUAGGGGUUCUGAGAGGAAGGUCCCCCACACUGGUACUGAGACACGGACCAGACUCCUACGGGAGGCAGCAGUGAGGAAUAUUGGUCAAUGGGCGAGAGCCUGAACCAGCCAAGUCGCGUGAAGGAAGAAUGUCCUAUGGAUUGUAAACUUCUUUUGUAAGGGAAUAAAAAGCUUACGUGUAGGCUAUUGUAUGUACUUUACGAAUAAGGAUCGGCUAACUCCGUGCCAGCAGCCGCGGU
RNAcentral lists this ribosomal RNA (501 nucleotides) under uncultured bacterium. Its description in RNAcentral is "bacterial SSU rRNA". It matches the Rfam family "Bacterial small subunit ribosomal RNA", at positions 28 to 521 of the family's 1533-position model. The record is from RNAcentral.